Molecule: long non-coding RNA, 6317 nt
Filed under: Coffea arabica (coffee)
Lineage: Eukaryota; Viridiplantae; Streptophyta; Magnoliopsida; Gentianales; Rubiaceae
Description: long non-coding RNA (CARA_LNC004122)
Source: RNAcentral
UUAAAGACAAAUUUACAGAAUGAGAGUAUUGUCAGGAUUGGGAGUUUUCAACCGAGUGAUGAGUUGGGGAUUUAUCUUAUCAUUUUGAAAUCAUGUCAAUCAAAAGCCAAAACAAUCUGAGACUUACCUCCAUUUAGUAGUCCAAACAGAGACCAUUUGCAGUUUCCUCAUUCUCAAUAAAUGAACAGCCCUAAACUGAUUUCACAUGCUACUCACAGAUAAGUCUUCUAUAUACUGCAGAUAAGUGAGAGCCUCUAGAAUGGUUCCACCUGACACUAGCAUAAAAAUUUGAAGGAAGGAAAGUAUUUGCAGUAACGAAGGUAUAUAAGUGACCCUUUAAAUUUGAAGAAAGCAAAAAAAUAAACCAUUGGAGUUUGUCUGCUGCUUUUGAUCAUGGUACACUUUCAGGUCACAAAAUGGAAUAUCAUUCUUCCCUGCAAACAACAAUAAAACACAAGAAACCAAACAAACAAUUCUUAGAAAGAAAAAUAAAACACAACAAAAUUUAGAAAAAGAAAAGUGUGAAAAAAAAAGCAGUUUUCAAGUUUUGGCACUUGAAUAUUUUCCCAAUCUCAACCUAUCCCAUAUCUAGACUCAUCCAGAACUAACAAAAGUAUUUCUCUUCAGAGGCAGAAUCUAAAACUCACCUUGCUGAAAGAUUAUGGGCAAUGCCAGAACUUUACAACACACGAUGGUCAAAAGUAACAAGAUAGAAAUAGGAAGUUGGUGAUUCUUUUUUCUCUUUUUCCUUCUUCACUGCCUUGGUUCUAGAAACUAUUCUGAGAAAGCAUCCAGUAUUGGACCUAAGACUAAAUCGCAUCACCAACUCUGUAACACACUAAAAGUCUGCAGCAUCUCCAGUUUGGACCAUUUGUUAGAUUGAAAUCUGCAAUUUCUUUGGAUGAGAAUUGCAUAGUUAUGGGCUUCUAGAUAUUUUCUCCAACCUGAGUUUUUACUGAGGCAUUUUCACUGUAGAAACCAAUUCCUAAUUUAGAACCUUGGUCCCUAGAUACCAAAACCACAAAAUUCUUGUUAAGAUAGCAAAGUUCAUAUAUUCUUUCUGACUAAAUAUCAUGCCCAACUUAAAAACUAAGUGCUAAAAAGGGUAUACAUAAAAUUUGUAAAUGAAGACCCUAGGGUAAGCCUAUCCUAACUACUAAAAUGGCUUCUUAGGAGUUAAGAGAUGCCAUGUUAAAGCUUGAAUUUUCAAAGUAAUCUCUGCCACCUUUUUUCUUUAUAUGCCCUAGUUGACUGUUGCCUUCUGUCUUUGUCACUCACAAAGGAUAAAACAGCUUGAAUGACCUCCUCUUGUCAUGCUUCCUGGGAAGCAAAGUAAUUGCCUUGCCUGCUCAGUCAGCUCAGUAGAUUUUUGACAUUAUGAGACUUUAACAGCGUGUUCCACAUUUCAGCUCGGUAGUCUCCAACUCUUUGACUGGUUCUCUCUCCAUUUCAAUUAUGCCAUUUAUUCUUUCCAAUUGCAUUCGACAAUCGUAUUUUGAUGUGGUGGAAGUGAAUUGAUAUUCAUUUCGAUUAUAGUGCAGUUACCUUCCUGUUAGAAAAGAGUAGCAUAUAGUUUGAAAUCUCUGGUGUGCUUCACAAGCACAGAAACAUCUUUGUUUGUACAAAUAAACAUUUAUCCCCUCCUAGCUACUUAUUUGAUAUCAAGAAAUGGAGUGUUAGAUGUUCAAGGAUGGGAAUUGGUUCUCAAGGUUGCAUCCAUGUGGUCCUUAAAUUCUGCAAUGGCAGGACCACCGAGCACAGAGUUUUCAGUAACCUGUAAUUAUAUAAAUUCUAAUAUAUAUACAUGAAUCAUGAUAACUUGGAGUACUUCAGUCUACUUUCUGAUUUGCAUGUGUCUAAAUGACAUUACUGUCAUUAACUUAUUAAAGUUAGGGGUUGAAUUAAUAAGGUUUGUAGAGAAGAUGUUUAUUUUUUAGUGCAACUCUUGUAAUUUUUCCGUAAAUGGGGAUUUGAGUAGAGUAAUGCUCUGAAUAUCACCUCUGGAUGUUUGACUCUUUCGAUUUUAACCAAUGACUAAUCAAAUCCAAAUGAUAGAUUAGAGAAAUUAAGGAAAAGAAACGGAGGUAAGAAAUUAGUUUACCUGUCGGGAAUGGAUAGUAAAUGUAGACCUUUUCAAAGCAAAUGUGGUUCCAGGUCAGUGACAGAUGUACUCACUGUUUGUUUGGAGCCAUUAGUGUGGAGGAAGAUGACUGAAAUGUGUGUUCUCUGCUUUUUCUUUUGUCUCAUUAGAUAAUUCUUGAAGUUAUCCCGUGCAAUUUUCUUUCUAAUUGUAGCACUCAUUAUAAUAUCAUUUGGAAUUUGCCCUGGGUAAUUUAAUGCAUUACGACAUGAAUCUCUUUGGUUUAAUUAUUCUCAUAUUGGGUAUGUACUUCUAUUCUUUGCAACACAUUAUUAAUGUUGAGACAAAGUGGUCAUAAUGCCCUGUUUCCUUGGUAAGUAGUAGAUCUUAUUUCGAGUACUAUACCAAUUUAGCAUCUGAAUAUAGAACUUUUUUUGGGGUUUUUCUUUUUUGGUUUUUUUUUGGGGGGGGGGGGGGCUGUGGGGAGAGAAAGAGAGAAGGAAAAAAAGAAGAGAAUCACCAACUUCCUAUUUCUAUCUUGUUACUUUUGACCGUCGUGUGUUGUGGCAUUGCACAUAAUCUUUCACAAAGGUGAGUUUUAGAUUUUGCCUCUGAAGAGAAAUAUUUUUCUUAGUUCUGAAUAAGUCUAGAUAGGGGUUAGGUUGAGAUUAGGAAAAUAUUUAAGCGCCAAAACUUGAAAACUGCUUUUUUUUUCACCCUACAGCCCCAACCCCCCCCCCCCCAACCUUCCCACCAAAAAAGAAUCAUCCCAAAAAAAUUCUAUAUUCAGAUGCUGAACCUGGACAUUUAUCAUAUCAAAAUUUGAAGUACUCAAAAUAAGAUCUACUUACCAAUGAAACAAGGCAUUAUGACCAUCGUUUCAACAUUAAUAAUGUGUCACAAAGCAGAGAAGUUUGUCUCUAUGCCCAAUAUCAGAAUAACUAAACCAGAGCGAUCCAUGUAGGAAUGAACUAAAUUACCCAAGGCACAAAUUCCAAGUGAUGUUAUAAUGAGUGCUACAAUUAGAAAGAAAAUUGCACACAAUAACUUCAAGAAUUAUCUAAUGAGACAAAAGAGAAAGCAGACAACACUCAUUUCAGUCAUCUUCCUCCAUGCUAAUGGCUCCAAAAAAACAGUAAGUACAUCUGUCACUGACCUGGAACCAGACUUGCCUUGGAAAGGUCUACAUUUACUAUAUCCAUUCCCGACAGAAAAACUAAUUUCUUACCUCCGUUCCUUAAUUUUCUCUGAUUUAUCAUUAAGAACUAAUUUGGAUAUGAUUUUAGCCAUUGGUUAAAAUCGAAAGAGUCAAACAUCCACCUUUAUAAACCAGGCUAGAGUCAUAGGCUGACAUUCAGAGCAUUACUCUACUCAAAUCCCUAUUUACGGAAAAUCAACAAGAGUUGCACUAAAAAUUAACAUCUACAAGAGGUUUACAUUGAACGUGCGUGCAAUCAAGAACUGGAUGGUUUCUAGGAAAAAUCUCUAGAAAUUCUUUGUUCCUCCUUAUUCCUGCUUACGAAUUUAAUACAUUUUUAUCCUUUCUGAGAAGUUGGCAACAUUCUAUUGCCAUCCUUUGCAUGAUCUAAACACGAACCAGUAUUCUGAGACACCUUUUGGAGUACCAACAAAUUUCUGCUGCAUCUAAAAAAGCUCUUAUUAGGCACACCCUUCUUAAAUCCUACUCCCCCAGGGGAUCUCGCGCAUGCAGUCUUGCAAGGAUCUUUCUGAUGAAGCUUAUUUGAGGUUUUUCAAAAUACUUCUCAUUUGCAGGGGUAAAGACUUUUAACUCACUAACUAAAUCGCUAAAAUAACAAACUGGAAGUGCAGACAUUCAAAAGUAUCCUGGAAAUCUAAAAUAUUCCAUUUCAAGAAAUCUAAGAUAUUUAAUUUGCAAUAUAAGCUUUUCAAAGUAUACAACUCCCCCAAAUUAACAUGUUAUGCCAUUUUGGCAAUUGUUUAUAUUCCAUUUCAAGAAAGUGGGUAUAUUCUAGUAAUAAAGAAAUAGCUCGAUUUGAAAGUGAAGUUAUUUAAAAGAAUAACUAAUUAAUCAUGUAAGUAGAAGGGACAAAACAAGAGUGGGGCUACAUGAGACCAACCAAGUUCCCUCCAUUCCAAGUAAAUAGGUUAAUAUCCAGAUAAAACUUGAGAAACUAGACUCCAUAACUACUCAUCAGCAUGAGCUACACAUCAUUCUCCCCCAUCACCACAGUACAACCACCCAGAAGCAAAAAGUUCAGCUUUUCACCCCAAAGAGAUGUUUACAGCUGGUUAAGUGCAGUUCCCAGGCAUGCAGUUCUAUUUUCCAUAUAAAUGAUAAAAAGGACACUGCUAAUCUAGUAAAUAAAUGGUGUAGGUAGCGUCCACCUUUACAUAAGAAUGCCCUAGCCACGUAUUAACAUCAAGACAAAAUGAUCAUGUUACAUAUGUAUACUAAUAAUUGUCAGCUCUCACUUGGUGACUAUAGAAUCAUUUGUAUAAUUCUGAGUAAAAAAAAUUCUUUCUUCAGUAAGCUAACAGCAUAUUUACCCUUCUCGCUUUUUCUUAUCCAUGUUUGUCCUUUUGUAGUUUAAAGGUGACUGAGAAGACAAAAGGUCAGAUGCCUGAAGAAUCUAACAUGUGGAGUCUCAAUUGAGAUAAUAGAGGUCUGAGAUGAAGAUCAAAUCUCUCAUUUAUUUCUCCUAGAAACACACUUGCUUCUUUAUGUAGGUUCCCAAAAAAGAAUCCCUAAAGCUUAAUCUCCACUUUCUAAAUUUUUUGACACAAUACAGUAUGAUGCAAGAAACACUUGUGAACUAACGUAUCAAUGGAAAACCUAUUCAACUUCAUUCAAUGGGCGAUAGUGACUCACAUGCUUUAUCACGAUGAUCAUUUCCAAAUAGGGUCCCGCAUUUAAAUUUUUGAGUUUUUCAUUCAACAAGUAACCCUGACUACCAUAUAGCGUUUCUUCAUUUAAAUACAGUGUUUGCGUCAAAAGGAACUGCAGCUAAGUGCUAACUGCAAAUCUUAUCUGUUUCUUAUUCUUGUUUGUUCUAACUGCUGCUCCCUCCAUAAAAUUACUAUCAACGUAUUUAUGAUGUUAACAAGUCAUUUUCCCGUUUUGCUUAUCCAAGCAUAUUCUUCUACAUCGUCCUAGGUCUUGUGAUAAAGUGACAAAGAUUGGAGAUGGAUAUCAUAAGUCAUAAGAUCCAACCUCCUUGUAUUCACUUUAAUUCUCUGUAGCCAAGUUCUAAAAGUGGAUUCAAUAUCUCACUCUAGUAACCUUGAAGAAUGUUCUCCUCAACCAUUUCAGAAGCAAGUACAGUUUAUGAAAUAACAAAGUCAUCCAAAGUCAACAAAGUUCUCAAACCUUGACGACAAUAGUAAACUAGUCUGUCUAUUCUCCUUACAGUAACCUUCAAAAUGUUCUCCUCAACCAUUUCCGGACCAUGUAUUAUUGGUAAAAUAUCUAAAGCAUCUGAGGUUAUCAAAGUUCUUAAACAUUGAAGAUGGUUCAUAAAUGCUUAGUGUUACCUCACUUAGUGUUACAGUUCUUAAACAUUCUAAGUGAGGUAACACUAAUAACCUUUUAGGUUAUCAAAGGAUGCUUGUCUAUCCACAUACUUCUCAAAAAGUAAUCUCAAACGUGCAAACUAAGUUUUCACAAAGAUAGAAUGAUAUUUACCAUCUUGCACGUUCCAAGUUGAUAGAGAUAAAUACGGAGGUAAGUCCCAAAAGUCCCUGAAAAGUAGCAUGUACAAAAUAAUGCAAGGGUACUAGAAAAAUUAUCGAUUGAAUAAAGAAAAUUAAACUAAAUAACAAAGAAAGUUGUAAAACUCCCCAGAGAUGACAUGUAUUGUUCUCCAUGUAAGAUGAAAAGGCCAUUCAGAUAAAACAUGUAAGUUUCAUGUCAAGAGUAACUUUGUCUGAGCUCCGCAUGAAUAAUUCAGAAGUCUUUCAAAUCAAGGAAGUAGUGAUGACAAAUAUUAAAAGCACUUGCCAAAUGGAGAAAAAACAAUAAAAAGAAAGCCAAUGAUUGUUUUUAGGGCAAUGAAAACCUUCAGGCUCGAUCACAAAGCCUUACCGUAUAACAAGAAUGAGUAAAUUUCUCAAGAAAUAAUAAGCAGUGUAGGAAUAUAGUGUUACCUCACUUAGAUUGUAACAUACAAUCAGCAUCCUUUACUGCUCGAACAAGAUGUGUUAUACGAUAUUGGAGCUUGGCAUUUUCUGCAUUUAGCUGCUUUAGCUCUUUCUGAGC